AGCCGCGGUGACGAACGGUACCGGCUGACGUUGCGUUCGCCCGGUUCCUUCGGGGCGGACUCCGCCCCUAGCGCGCGGAGCCGGCGGCGUCUGCCAUUGGCCGGCGGGGAGGGCGCGCGGAGGGGGAGGGCGCGCGCCGCAGAGGAAGUAAACAAGCGCCAGCGCGCGAGCGGCCGCUGCGGGGGCGGGCGGCGUGAGGGGCUGCGGAGUGCUGCGUGAUUCCCCCACAGGGCGCCAUGUCCGGCCCCGGGCUCUGCCUCACUCGCGCUCACGGACCCCGCACAUCUUCUCAGCCUCCAGACCCCCCUCAAAGCCCUCUCAGAUGCUCUCAUAGCCCCCACAACCCCUCAGAGCUCUCACAGGCUGUUUCAUAGCCCCUCAUAGCCCUCACAGAUUUCUUGCAUAGCCCCUCAAAGCCCUCACAGACUCUCAAAGCCCUCACAGACUCUCUCAUAGCCCCUCAAAGCCCUCACAGAUUCUCUCACAGCCCUCUCAGCACCCUCAGACCCUUCACAGCCCCCUCAGCCCCCGCUCCUGCGCUGGCAGAGGCAGCGCGGAGUUGGUGACAUGCAGCGCGUUGUUUAUUUUCCAUCCGCUGCUGUGUCACCCUUGUCUCGGGUUCGGGAUUGCCCUCUGCCCGUCGCAGUGGGGUGACAAUCCACAUUACUCUUGUGACCGCUGUGCAAUCCUUUGCCUGUGUGAUCCGGGCAGGCCACUAACAUAAUUUCUAGGGUUUAGGUCAAAAUACGAAGAGUGAAGAGCAAAUUCAUUCUGUUUCACAGAAAUGAAAAAGAAAUCCAGAUUCUCCUCCACACGUCUCUUGAUCUUCACCAGACUUGAAGAACCUGUAGUUCUUAGAGCUGGAGAAAUCCUGUGUUCCUACUCAGCUGAGAAGCACAUCCUCUGCUCUUCCAUUACAGUUCUUUGUCUAGAAAACAUCUUUUCAGUCUUUGUCAGAGUAAAUGCCCUGUUUUUGGGUCCAUGAGACAUCUGGCCCUGCUGCUGUGUCUGGGGCUGAAAAGCACUCGCUGGGCAGGAAUUUGGCUUGGAAUGCUGGGAUCCAGAAAGCUGCUGGCUCUGGAAAUUACCCCAUUUAUGAACUAGUGUUGCACUUCUCUUUAGAUUAGAAGCCAAAAAAAAAAUUAUAAUGGCUACAAGGUCUGCAAAGUAGUUUGCCUGCUUGUGGGAAUAAGAUUUAAAUGUCAUGAAUGAAGUUAAUGUUAUUAUCUAUCAUUAAUCUGAAGACUGAAAAAACAGAACUGUGUUUCAUAAUAUCUUUGGGGAAUAGUCUGACAAAUAGAUCUUCAAUUAGGGAUCAUUUCCUGACAGCUUUGGUGUUUUCUGGAAAGAUUGUGUAAUGUUGAUAAUGAGUUGUUGGAUUAUAUUCACACUUAAAUCACUUAAACUAUCUUUGCCUCUCAUGUGGAAAAAGAAACAAGGUAUUUUUAGAGGGUUAUGAUGUGUUUCCAAAUUUUGGGGGUGAAGGAACUUGCUAUAGAGUAGAAGAAAUGUUACUUUAGGUGGUAUUUUUCAUAGAAAGUCUUACUCUAUUUCAUGGGAGAACUGACAGAGUAUUAGUUUUCAAAUUAAUAUCAGAUAAUAUUAUGCAACAACAUCAUGUCAUGAUAUUUGUAAAAUAAUUGCUAGCUGGAGUAAUGAGUAAGUACCGAAAAGUAAGACAACUGCGUAAAUCUGCUCAUAUUUGCAUGGGCAAGCUAAAAUAUGUGUUUAAUUGCAAUAAUUCUCAAAGUUCUUGUAAACAACUAUUACAUUUCUUAGGCAAACAUGCUUGAUAUUUUUAAAUCUAAUUAUAAACAGAAAUAUUUUUGCUACUCACAGAGGUAUUUAAGUUCUCUGUGUCUGCAGUCCUCCACUAGAGCUGCUGGAAGUGAAUUGCUGCAUGGCACAAGCACUGCUGUUUUGGGAGUGGGUGCAGCCUGAACUGGGAGGCCAGGAUAGUGUCCUGUGCUUCUGCAUGCUUAUUUUCUAUCUGCAAGCAUUGCAAAAAGGGAGGGAACGUUGUGCUUUCAUUGCAAAGAAGUUACUUAUAGUAUGGGUAACUUCCUUGUGAGACUCAUCCUUAGCUAGAUGGUAAAUCUAGAGCAGCUUUGUGGAAAGUAAGAUCACUUGACAGAGACAGGAAAUACUUUGAAAUUUAUAUUUAUGUUACAUUAAAAGUUUUAUGUUUUGAAACUGGAUGUUUCUGUCAGUUUGUCACCUGCCUUAUCUCUGAACUUUGGUGCAUUCACACAAAUAUGAUAGUGUGUGCUUUUUGUAGGAUCACAUUUGUGAAAUGAUUUCUUGAUUAAUGUGACAGGAAAUAUUUCUGAAAGUUUGACAAGCUCCAACUGGUUAGGAUCUCAAAGCACUGAAAGCUGGUGAUGUCUAAACCUGCUUAGCGGAAAGUCAGAUAUAAAUGUAUUCAAAUCUGAAGGUGAUAAAGACUAACUUUUUGAUUACAAUACCAUAGGAAAACCUACCCUGUUAAAUCUCAGAUAAGAACUGUAUUUUUCACAAGCAUCUUCUAAAACUUUUUACAUCCAUGGGUGUUUGCUUAUAUGAAGUCUGACUUUGUUUGUCUAAAGACUGAAGCAAAAAUUAGUGCAUUCAUUAUUUCCAUAGCUGUUAGUACAUUUUUGGGCUUGAUGUUGAAUCUAUAAAUAAUGCUAAAAUAAUUGCUUAUGGUCCAUCUGUACAAAUUGCAAUUUUUGUGCAUAUGUAACAUUUGAUGCAUGAAAAUAUUAAGAUGAAAUUGCAUUUAGAUGUUAGAUACUUAGAAUUGUAAAGAGGAAUGAUAGAGGUUUUGGUAAGGGGCUUUCUUUUGUCUGUGAUCCCAUGAAUUUAGGGUUCAAUUUGAAGGGGAUAAAGGGUGUUAGAGCCUGCCUGUGCAAGCAGAAGCAAGUAACAGUGCCAAGGAUUUAUACAUUUCUCUAAAUGUUAAAGCAUUGAACAGAGCUUUUCUUCUGGUUUGCCAGAAAAGGCAAGAUUUGACCCUUUGGCAGUAUCUUUAAUGAGAGAGACUCCCCUUCUGAGCAUUGCCUGACCGAAAGGUGCUGACACCGUUGAGUCAACACAACUGUCCUGGCUUGUUUUUUAAAUAUUUGUAGGGAGUUCACAGGUGAUAAGCUGACAACCAAGAUAGAGACUCUAGAAAUGUAUUGUUCGUGAACUUGUGUCUCACAUGCAAGAACAAGGUUUUGUAGGAGUAACAGUGGGCACUGAGUUCAUGAGUCAACAGGCUGGGCAGGAGUGCAGCCUGCUGCAGGCGGGACAGCAGCGGCACUCCAGAAGUCAACUGCUUGCUGUGGCUGUGUAAAAUAGUUCAGAAUUUGCACGAGUAACUGAAUCCAGAAGUAAAAUUUCUUUAUAACUAAAACAUAAAAAAA
Non-coding RNA from Taeniopygia guttata (zebra finch), 3386 nucleotides. The record is from RefSeq and is a predicted model, not a curated record. NCBI's taxonomy places the organism in Eukaryota, Metazoa, Chordata, Aves, Passeriformes, Estrildidae.